AUGCAGAAACUGAGGUCCAGAGAAGUUAAGAACCUUGUCCCAGGACUUGGAGUCCCACAGCCCUGGUGCUAACCCUGCUUCACCUCCAGGGGCUGUGUGACUUUGGAUCAGGCAUCUUGCUUCUCUGAGCCUAUACGUGGCUGCAGAAGAAUUCCUGGCAGUUUGCUCUAAGGUUCCAGAAGGAAAUCGUUGUGCAGCGCACAGUAGACACGCCAGGAGCUGUAGUUCCCAUGCAUCCGUGGAUCUGCAUCCCGCUUGGCCACAGAGACCCACUCCCUGUGACCUGGUGUCUGUUUAGAGAUGGGGUAACCGAGCUCCCCUGUGAGGAAGUGACUUCUACCUGAGACACUGGACAGGGCAGAGUUAAAACUCCCGGAACUUGCAUUUUUGGACCUGCCUCCAGGACCCUGGGGAUUUCCACCAG
Non-coding RNA from Ceratotherium simum simum (southern white rhinoceros), 424 nucleotides. The record is from RefSeq and is a predicted model, not a curated record. Lineage: Eukaryota; Metazoa; Chordata; Mammalia; Perissodactyla; Rhinocerotidae.